Transfer RNA from Penicillium oxalicum 114-2, 132 nucleotides. It matches the Rfam family "tRNA". From Rfam's summary of the family: Transfer RNA (tRNA) molecules are approximately 80 nucleotides in length. Their secondary structure includes four short double-helical elements and three loops (D, anti-codon, and T loops). Further hydrogen bonds mediate the characteristic L-shaped molecular structure. tRNAs have two regions of fundamental functional importance: the anti-codon, which is responsible for specific mRNA codon recognition, and the 3' end, to which the tRNAs corresponding amino acid is attached (by aminoacyl-tRNA synthetases). tRNAs cope with the degeneracy of the genetic code in two manners: having more than one tRNA (with a specific anti-codon) for a particular amino acid; and 'wobble' base-pairing, i.e. permitting non-standard base-pairing at the 3rd anti-codon position. Lineage: Eukaryota; Fungi; Ascomycota; Eurotiomycetes; Eurotiales; Aspergillaceae. The record is from Rfam.
GUCAGUUUGGCCGAGUGGUCUAAGGCGCUUGACUUGAACCUCCCGAUCGCAUGAUCAGGGCAAUGGGAUCCCCAUCGCAUGUUUGGGCAUCAAGUCCCUUCGGGGGCACAGGUUCGAACCCUGUAGCUGACG